RNAcentral lists this ribosomal RNA (326 nucleotides) under uncultured Chlorobiota bacterium. RNAcentral describes it as "bacterial SSU rRNA". It matches the Rfam family "Bacterial small subunit ribosomal RNA", at positions 28 to 351 of the family's 1533-position model. Lineage: Bacteria; Pseudomonadati; Chlorobiota. The record is from RNAcentral.
GACGAACGUUGGCGGCGUGCCUAAUACAUGCAAGUCAACUGGAGUUAAGGUAGCAAUAUCUUAACAACGGUGGCGCACGGGUGAGUAACACGUAGGUAAUCUGCCUUCAGGUCUGACAUAACCCACCGAAAGGUGAGCUAAUAUCAGAUGAUGCAGCGGCUUGACAUCAAGACAGUUGUUAAAGCUUCGGCGCCUGAAGAUGAGCCUGCGUCUGAUUAGCUAGUUGGCGGGGUAACGGCCCACCAAGGCUGCGAUCAGUAGCUGGUCUGAGAGGAUGAUCAGUCACACUGGAACUGAGACACGGUCCAGACUCCUACGGGAGGCAG